GAUGAACGCUGGCGGCGUGCCUAACACAUGCAAGUCGAGCGGCAGCGAGGGGUGCUUGCACCCUGUCGGCGGGCGGCGGACGGCUGAGUAACGCGUGGGAACGUGCCCCAAAGUGAGGAAUAACUGCCCGAAAGGGUAGCUAAUACCGCAUAUUAUCUUCGGAUCAAAGGAUUUAUCCGCUUUGGGAGCGGCUCGCGUCGGAUUAGGUAGUUGGUGAGGUAAUGGCUCACCAAGCCGACGAUCCGUAGCUGGUCUGAGAGGAUGACCAGCCAGACUGGAACUGAGACACGGUCCAGACUCCUACGGGAGGCAGCAGUGAGGAAUCUUCCACAAUGGGCGAAAGCCUGAUGGAGCAACGCCGCGUGCAGGACGAAGGCCUUCGGGUUGUAAACUGCUUUUAUAAGUGAGGAAUAUGACGGUAACUUAUGAAUAAGGAUCGGCUAACUACGUG
This 451-nucleotide ribosomal RNA is filed under the name uncultured bacterium. Its description in RNAcentral is "partial 16S ribosomal RNA". It matches the Rfam family "Bacterial small subunit ribosomal RNA", at positions 28 to 507 of the family's 1533-position model. The record is from RNAcentral.